RNAcentral lists this transfer RNA (63 nucleotides) under Dermacentor albipictus. RNAcentral's name for it is "tRNA-Ala". Lineage: Eukaryota; Metazoa; Arthropoda; Arachnida; Ixodida; Ixodidae. The record is from RNAcentral.
AGAAAAGUAUUUAAAAAAAUAAAAUCUAAAUUGCAAUUAGAAAUUGAAGUAAUUCCUUUUCUG